GUCCCCGGAGGCCUUUAGGGUAGGCGAGGGGCGGCCGGCAGAGCCUGGGAGAGGUGGGGGGCAUCAGGGCAGCGCUUUCACUUGAUUUACAAAUUAAAUGAACAUUUGUUGUCUUUUCAGACAGGGUCUCGCUCUGUCGCCCAGGCUGGAGUGCUGUGGCUCAGUCUCGGCUCACUGCAGCCUGAACCUCCCGGGGUGAAGCGAUUCUCCCACCUCAGCCUCCCGAGUUAGCAGGGACCACAGGCGCGUGCCACCACACCUGGCUAAAUUAAAAAAAAAAAUUUAGUAGAGACAGGGUUUCACCAUGUUGCCCGGGCUGGUCUCAAACUCCUGGCCUCAGGCGAUCCACCCAUCACAGCCUCCCAAAGUGCUGGGAUUACAGAUGUGAGCCACUGUCCCGGCUUAAAUAAUUUUAUUUUGAUAAAGCAGGUCCCCUCCAGCAAUGGAUGGAUAUUCUGUCUUGCCCGACAACUUUGCCCAUCUUGAAGGUCAGACAAGGAAUGAUCAAGGGAUGAUAAUCAUGUUUGGAGAGAGCACAGCCCUGAGAGAGGUAACAAAAGAGACACACUGCUAAAAAGCAGGGAGGGAAACCCAGGCGUUCUGGCCUCACCCAGAGGACACUCUGCUGUGCUCCACACUGCCUCUCGUGGGGUGCUGGGAUAGAGAGGAAGACAGAUGUGUAGGCCUGGUCCUGUUCUGAGGGCUCUGCUGAACCGGAUACUAUGAGAUUAUUUUGUAAACUCUAAUAUAUGACUUGUAAACUGGACAUGAACAAGAAUUUGUGAUAUAGCCUCUUUACCAGGAUUGAAGAAGACAGAAAGAAAAAAAUCUUGGACAAAUUAAUUGCAGGAAGAAAUGAUCAAAUUUUGGCUUACAUAUUUUGCAACAGUGGUAUAACACAAAGAAGUAAGCAAAUAUGGCAGAAGUGUGGUGCCUUUGGCGUCUACUUUUGACCGUAGUGGUGGCCCUGUUAUUCGUGGCUCCCGGGGUUCCUACACAUCCUUCCCGAUGGAAGAAGGUGUUGGCCAAAAAGGUCAGCCAGCUGAUGGAUUGGACCAAGAAAGACAGAGUGAUGAGAAUGAGUGACACCAUGUUCUAUCAUUUUGUAUUAGAUGCACCAAAAAACUAUUCUGUUAUUGUGAUGCUUACUGCUCUCCACGAGUUCAGUUCAUGUGUAAUGUGCAAAGGUGCUGCUGAAGAAUUUCAGAUCUUGGCAAAUUCCUAUCAACGCCCUGGUGCAUUCACCACAAAGGUAUUUUUUGCAAUGGUGGAUUAUGAUGAAAGCCCUGAGGUCUUUGAAGCGCUCCAGGUAAUGUCAGUUCCGAGUUUCUUCCACUUUUCUGCCCAAUGGAAAUUUACAACAGAUGACAUUUAUAAUUUGAGAGGAAGGGAUAUUGUUGCUGACCAAAUAGCUGAAUGGGUAGCAGAAAGAACACAUGUUAGCGUCAGAAUCAGACAGCCUACAAAUUAUCAUGGUCUCCUCAAGCCGGGGAUACUUUUGGCUCUCAUUGGUGGACUUGGGUAUUUCUUGAAAUGGAAUAGGAAAUCUAUUUCUUGCAGAAUUUUGUGCGAAGUUUUAACUCUGUGCUUUGUGAUUGUGAUGACGUCUGGUCAAAUGUGGACUUAUAUAAGAGGAGAACCGUAUGUCCAAAGGGACCCUCACACAGGACAUAAACAUUAUAUCAGUAAAUUUAGUCAGGCUCAGUUUGCAGCAGAAACAUUCAUUAUUUCCCUGUUUAAUAUGUGUGUUAGCCUGGGAAUGGUGCUGUUAGACAAGGCUGCCACCUCUACGAUGACCAUCAUAAAGAGAAAGAUGAUGUGUCUGGCUGGUAUGUGUCUUGUUGCCAUAUUCUUCAGUUGGCUGCUUGCCCUCUUUAGAUUUAAAGUACCUGACUAUCCAUACAGCUUUGUCUGGGAUUAAAAAGGAUCCUACAGACAUAGACAAUGAAGCAAGAAAUUUGAAAAAAAAAAAAAAAAAAGUGAAGCUGAAAAAUGCAAACUCAUAGCUUUUUAAAGUAAUUGAGAUUUCACCAAAAGAGACCAUAAGUGCUUUAAGUGCUUUCAAAAUCUGUCAAGUAUUAUAGUAUGUAUCUUCUCUGUUCUUAAUUUUUCUUCCCGAGUGUUACAGAUUACCUCAAGUCCAAUUAUUAAAAUCUUUAGA
Pongo pygmaeus (Bornean orangutan) is the source of this 2161-nucleotide RNA transcript. It is a transcript of the gene named magnesium transporter protein 1-like, with no coding region annotated. NCBI's taxonomy places the organism in Eukaryota, Metazoa, Chordata, Mammalia, Primates, Hominidae. The record is from RefSeq and is a predicted model, not a curated record. The transcript is spliced from 4 exons.